CCUCGGGGGGCAGCAGUGGGGAAUAUUGCACAAUGGGGGAAACCCUGAUGCAGCGACGCCGCGUGAGUGAAGAAGCGUUUCGGCGCGUAAAGCUCUGUCAGCGGGGAAGAAACACGGUUCGCGAGAGCCGCGGACGGUACCCGACCAAGAAGCUCCGGCUAACUACGUGCCAGCAGCCGCGGUAAUACGUAGGGGGCAAGCGUUAUCCGGAUUUACUGGGUGUAAAGGGAGCGUAGACGGCAUUGCAAGUCUGAUGUGAAAGAUUGGGGCUCAACCCCAGGCCUGCAUUGGAAACUGUAAAGCUG
This 305-nucleotide ribosomal RNA is filed under the name uncultured bacterium. Its description in RNAcentral is "bacterial SSU rRNA". It matches the Rfam family "Bacterial small subunit ribosomal RNA", at positions 339 to 643 of the family's 1533-position model. The record is from RNAcentral.